RNAcentral lists this unclassified non-coding RNA (25 nucleotides) under Mus musculus (house mouse). Its description in RNAcentral is "oocyte_clustered_small_RNA6158". The record is from RNAcentral. Lineage: Eukaryota; Metazoa; Chordata; Mammalia; Rodentia; Muridae.
ACUGUGUGUAAAUGCUCCAUGCCUG